AAUUCAAUUCAGUUCAGUUCAGUUCAGUUCACUAAUCUUCUGCUUCAUGCUUCUCUUUCCUAAAACCUCACUCCCAAUUCUCAACAUUUGAUUUCAAUUAAUAUGUGAAUUUCUGUACGGAUUUUUCUGCCGAUUGGGGAAUAUCCGAUCAAAGAAUCGAAUAAAACAAGGUAACCAAUUUCAUAUGAUGGACGCAUCAAAUGGUUCCGCAAAUUUCGAAGAAAUCAACUCUUUCUUCGAUUCCGCCCCUUCUCUAAAGGAUGGUGAAGAAAUCAAAAGA
Erythranthe guttata (spotted monkey flower) is the source of this 280-nucleotide non-coding RNA. NCBI's taxonomy places the organism in Eukaryota, Viridiplantae, Streptophyta, Magnoliopsida, Lamiales, Phrymaceae. The record is from RefSeq and is a predicted model, not a curated record.